Molecule: transfer RNA, 79 nt
Filed under: Shimwellia blattae DSM 4481 = NBRC 105725
Lineage: Bacteria; Pseudomonadati; Pseudomonadota; Gammaproteobacteria; Enterobacterales; Enterobacteriaceae
Description: tRNA-Lys
Rfam family: tRNA
About the family: Transfer RNA (tRNA) molecules are approximately 80 nucleotides in length. Their secondary structure includes four short double-helical elements and three loops (D, anti-codon, and T loops). Further hydrogen bonds mediate the characteristic L-shaped molecular structure. tRNAs have two regions of fundamental functional importance: the anti-codon, which is responsible for specific mRNA codon recognition, and the 3' end, to which the tRNAs corresponding amino acid is attached (by aminoacyl-tRNA synthetases). tRNAs cope with the degeneracy of the genetic code in two manners: having more than one tRNA (with a specific anti-codon) for a particular amino acid; and 'wobble' base-pairing, i.e. permitting non-standard base-pairing at the 3rd anti-codon position.
Source: RNAcentral
GGGUCGUUAGCUCAGUUGGUAGAGCAGUUGACUUUUAAUCAAUUGGUCGCAGGUUCGAAUCCUGCACGACCCACCAUUA